CCGAGUUAUACAACUCCCAAACCCCUGUGAACCUACCUAUACUGUUGCUUCGGCGGGAACAGACGGCCCCGUAAAACGGGCCGCCCCCGCCGGGGACCCCCCCAAACCAAUGUUUCUAUAAUGUUUUUCUGAGUAAACCCCAAAUAAAUCA
Molecule: unclassified non-coding RNA, 151 nt
Filed under: uncultured fungus
Lineage: Eukaryota; Fungi
Also listed under: 1 other name
Description: sequence contains ITS1, 5.8S rRNA gene
Source: RNAcentral